GACGAACGCUGGCGGCGUGCUUAACACAUGCAAGUCGAACGCUGAAGCUUGGUGCUUGCACUGGGUGGAUGAGUGGCGAACGGGUGAGUAAUAAGUGAGUAACCUGCCCUUGACUCUGGGAUAAGCCUGGGAAACUGGGUCUAAUACUGGAUACGACAUGUCACCGCAUGGUGGUGUGUGGAAAGGGUUUUACUGGUUUUGGAUGGGCUCACGGCCUAUCAGCUUGUUGGUGGGGUAAUGGCUCACCAAGGCGACGACGGGUAGCCGGCCUGAGAGGGUGAACGGCCGCAAGGGGACGAAGACAGGGCGCAGACGGCUACAGGGGGGAAAGGGGGGGAAUACGGCACAGUGGGAGGGAGCCUGGUGCGGAGGCUCCGAGCGAGGGAUGACGGGCGGGGGGGAAAAAACAUCGGUCGGGAAGGAAGAGGCGAUAAUAACGGUACGUGAAGAAGAAGCGCCGGAUAACUACGGG
Molecule: ribosomal RNA, 472 nt
Filed under: uncultured bacterium
Lineage: Bacteria
Description: partial 16S ribosomal RNA
Rfam family: Bacterial small subunit ribosomal RNA
Source: RNAcentral